This 250-nucleotide ribosomal RNA is filed under the name uncultured bacterium. RNAcentral's name for it is "partial 16S ribosomal RNA". It matches the Rfam family "Bacterial small subunit ribosomal RNA", at positions 524 to 773 of the family's 1533-position model. The record is from RNAcentral.
UACGUAGGUGGCUAGCGUUAUCCGGAUUUACUGGGCGUAAAGAGGGCGUAGGCGGUCUUUCAAGUCGGAUGUGAAAUCUCCCGGCUCAACUGGGAGGGGUCAUCCGAUACUGUUGGACUGGAGGGUAGCAGAGGAAAGCGGAAUUCCCGGUGUAGUGGUGAAAUGCGUAGAUAUCGGGAGGAACACCAGUGGCGAAGGCGGCUUUCUGGGCUAUUUCUGACGCUGAGGCUCGAAAGUGUGGGGAGCGAAC